RNAcentral lists this ribosomal RNA (374 nucleotides) under uncultured organism. RNAcentral describes it as "partial 16S ribosomal RNA". It matches the Rfam family "Bacterial small subunit ribosomal RNA", at positions 527 to 896 of the family's 1533-position model. The record is from RNAcentral.
GUAGGUGGCAAGCGUUGUCCGGAAUUAUUGGGCGUAAAGCGCGCGCAGGCGGUUCUUUAAGUCUGAUGUGAAAGCCCACGGCUCAACCGUGGAGGGUCAUUGGAAACUGGAGAACUUGAGUACAGAAGAGGAAAGCGGAAUUCCACGUGUAGCGGUGAAAUGCGUAGAGGUGUGGAGGAACACCAGUGGCGAAGGCGGCUUUCUGGUCUGUAACUGACGCUGAGGCGCGAAAGCGUGGGGAGCAAACAGGGAUUAGAUACCCUGGUAGUCCACGCCGUAAACGAUGAGUGCUAAAGUGUUAGGGGGGUUUCCCGCCCCUUAGUGCUGCAGCUAACGCAUUAAGCACUCCGCCUGGGGAUACGGCCGCAAGGCUG